CCAAAACCUCUCUCUCAGUCAAAGCAUUAGACGUGGCCUGCACUAGUGGUACUGUUGGAUGAAGCUGAUCUAGAACAUCCGGCAGAACUCCAAAACUAUCUUGAAAACUCUCUGAUUCAGAGGCUCCAGUGCUGAAAGAAUUACAAGAAGUAUUAAGCCAAGGAUUGGUCUCGAGGUCACCAGGAUGAUCAGGAAGCAAUGACACAUCUCCAUCAUUUAGAGAGGGAUUCCAGAGAUCACCCUCUUCGUUGGCGGCAGUAGUGAAUUCCAACUGAUCUGGGACUAAUCGCCUCAUGUUAAGCUAAAGUGGGUGCUCCACUCUCACAAAUUCACACACGAUAGCUGCAACCAGAUUGUGGGGGUAUAUAUAUAUAUUUUCCUGGGACUUAAUUGAGACGCCCGCGUCGGGAAACGAAGAAAUCGCAAAGAGAAAUGCUAUUUUGUACACCAGCAUCCCACUGCUAUCCCACUCAACCUACGUGGAUUUUAAUUUUAAUUUUUAAUUUUUUAGUUUCUUCCUUUAGAAUCCCAAACGUCUCUCCCUCUACGAAACCCCCCUCUCUCUCUUCUCUCUCUUCUCAGUUCUCUCUCUCUUUGUUUUCUUCACCGGCAAAUCUCUCUCUCCGGCGGUUUCUUCCUUUAGAAUCCCAAACGUGCCUCUCCCUCUACGAGACCCCCCUCUCUCUCUUCUCUCUCUUCUCAGUUCUCUCUCUCUUUGUUUUCUUCACCGGCAAAUCUCUCUCUCCGGCGGCCGGCAGUCCUUCUUUCGACGGAAUCGCUGCCGGAUUUCGCCGGAAAAUCUCUCUCUGCCAGAUCUGCCCGGAACUUGACGGACACGCUCUCUCUCACCGGAUCUUGACGGAAACGCUCUCUCUCGACGGAUAUUGCCGAAGCUCGCCGAAAAUCUCUCUCUGGACGGAAUCUCUCUAUGCCAGAUCUCGCCGGAAACAGUUUCUCUCGCCGGAUCUAUCUCGCCGGAGCUACAAAUAGUGAAAUGAUGGUGAUAGAAGAGAAUAGCAAGCAUGGGAAUGGAAGUUGCUCAAGGUGGAGUACAAUUGGCGAUUGAAAAAGAAAAACAACCGGAUGAAAAAAAACUAUCAGAUUUAAGAGAGUUAAAUCUUAAGAGAUUUAAGAGAGUUAAAUCUGUAGAAUUUUGAAGCAGUGGUGGCUGCCCGCAAAGCACAUGAUAGUACGCCUCAAGAUGUCGAGAUUUUAGAUUUUACUUCUUAAAAGUGAAAGUGUUCCAAAUGAGACUAAUUAUUUUUACACCACUUUGAUUCAAGUCUAUUGUCUUAGUAUGUAAAACUCAUGCAUGUAUAACCAAUAUAUAUAGAACCUACACCCUUGUGUUUUGGUAUAGAGUUAAA
Long non-coding RNA from Alnus glutinosa, 1367 nucleotides. RefSeq lists it as uncharacterized. The transcript has 2 exons. The record is from RefSeq and is a predicted model, not a curated record. NCBI's taxonomy places the organism in Eukaryota, Viridiplantae, Streptophyta, Magnoliopsida, Fagales, Betulaceae.